UUACGGCCAUAUCACGUUGAAAAACCGGUUUUCGUACGAUCACCGAAGUUAAGCAACGUCAAGCCUGGUCUGUACCUAGAUAGGUGACCGCUUGGGAAUACUAGGUGCUAUA
Molecule: ribosomal RNA, 112 nt
Filed under: Acanthosepion pharaonis
Lineage: Eukaryota; Metazoa; Mollusca; Cephalopoda; Sepiida; Sepiidae
Source: RNAcentral